Molecule: ribosomal RNA, 220 nt
Filed under: uncultured bacterium
Lineage: Bacteria
Description: partial 16S ribosomal RNA
Rfam family: Bacterial small subunit ribosomal RNA
Source: RNAcentral
GACAGUCUCAGUUCGGAUUGAAGGCUGAAAUUCGCCUUCAUGAAGCCGGAAUUGCUAGUAAUGGCAGGUCAGCAUACUGCCGUGAAUACGUUCCCGGGCCUUGUACACACCGCCCGCCACACCAUGGGAGCCGGGAAUGCCCGAAGUCGGUGACCCAACCGUAAGGAGGGAGCCGCCGAAGGCAGGCCUGGUAACUGGGGUGAAGUCGUAACAAGGUACC